RNAcentral lists this ribosomal RNA (341 nucleotides) under Nematoda environmental sample. RNAcentral's name for it is "SSU rRNA". It matches the Rfam family "Eukaryotic small subunit ribosomal RNA", at positions 1300 to 1665 of the family's 1831-position model. The record is from RNAcentral. Lineage: Eukaryota; Metazoa; Nematoda.
CGUGGAUCGAUUUGUCUGGUUUAUUCCGAUAACGAGCGAGACUCCAGCCUACUAACUAGUGUGGGCAUUGCCACUGUGCUCUUACACUUCUUAGAGGGAUUGGCUGCGUCUAGCGGCACGAAACGGAGCAAUAACAGGUCUGUGAUGCCCUUAGAUGUCCGGGGCUGCACGCGCGCUACACUGGCAAAGGCAGCGUGCUUGUCCGUCUCCGAAAGGAGUCGGUAAACCCUUGAAAAUUUGCCGUGAUUGGGAUCGGAAAUUGCAAUUAUUUUCCGUGAACGAGGAAUUCCUAGUAAGUGCGAGUCAUCAGCUCGCGUUGAAUACGUCCCUGCCCUUUGUAC